GCGGGUAUGGUGGAAUUGGCAGACACGCAAGAUUUAGGAUCUUGUGCCUUCGGCGUGCAGGUUCGACCCCUGUUACCCGCACCA
Molecule: transfer RNA, 84 nt
Filed under: Clostridia bacterium
Lineage: Bacteria; Bacillati; Bacillota; Clostridia
Description: tRNA-Leu
Rfam family: tRNA
About the family: Transfer RNA (tRNA) molecules are approximately 80 nucleotides in length. Their secondary structure includes four short double-helical elements and three loops (D, anti-codon, and T loops).
Source: RNAcentral